RNAcentral lists this long non-coding RNA (332 nucleotides) under Phoenix dactylifera (date palm). RNAcentral describes it as "long non-coding RNA (PDAC_LNC014226)". The record is from RNAcentral. Lineage: Eukaryota; Viridiplantae; Streptophyta; Magnoliopsida; Arecales; Arecaceae.
AAUGUUGCUUUGCAUCUAUUCGGCCUAUCCGGUCAUCGGGUCCCAUUGCUAGAUGGUUACUUCGAUUAGUGCAGGAAGUGUUCUUGUACUACCGGCUUAGGUUCGAACCUGUGAGGUCACACGCUUAGAAGUUUUUGGAUUGAUCAAAUGGCUGAUUGACGAUUGAGAAUCGUCUAGAGGUAAAAUAGUCAAUGUGAUUGACUGAUUGCCCUAAGCAAUUGUUGCUUGGAGAAGUUAAUUGGUGAUUAGAUCACUGAUUAGACUCAAUUUGAUUGAGUAAUAGAGAUUGGGCUUGACCAAAUUCAAAUAUGAUUUGAAAUUGGUAAAACCGU